UGGUCGCAGUUGACGCAGUUAGACUCACUUGGAACUUUAUUUCGGGCCUUCACUGGUUUUUAGAGUUCGUUGGAUAUAAGUUAUGAUUUUACGCCAGACAAAAUGACAGCUCGGGUCACUAAAGUUUACGCUGAAUUCUUCUACCAACAACUAAAUUCUAAUAUCCGGGAAUUUAUCCUGCAAAAAUCACUUGCACGUUUGUAUAUGCAUUACGUGAAGAAACAGCUGAUAAAUAAUAAUGAAUAGGUGUUCGUCCUACAAUAGUUUCGCCUUACCUGAGCAGCCACGUGCGACAGUGGAAGGAAGCUGACGAG
Neodiprion fabricii is the source of this 314-nucleotide long non-coding RNA. RefSeq lists it as uncharacterized. NCBI's taxonomy places the organism in Eukaryota, Metazoa, Arthropoda, Insecta, Hymenoptera, Diprionidae. The transcript has 2 exons. The record is from RefSeq and is a predicted model, not a curated record.